UUUAUGGAGAGUUUGAUCCUGGCUCAGGAUGAACGCUGGCGGCGUGCCUAAUACAUGCAAGUCGAGCGAACGGACGAGAAGCUUGCUUCUCUGAUGUUAGCGGCGGACGGGUGAGUAACACGUGGAUAACCUACCUAUAAGACUGGGAUAACUUCGGGAAACCGGAGCUAAUACCGGAUAAUAUUUUGAACCGCAUGGUUCAAAAGUAAAAGACGGUCUUGCUGUCACUUAUAGAUGGAUCCGCGCUGCAUUAGCUAGUUGGUAAGGUAACGGCUUACCAAGGCAACGAUGCAUAGCCGACCUGAGAGGGUGAUCGGCCACACUGGAACUGAGACACGGUCCAGACUCCUACGGGAGGCAGCAGUAGGGAAUCUUCCGCAAUGGGCGAAAGCCUGACGGAGCAACGCCGCGUGAGUGAUGAAGGUCUUCGGAU
RNAcentral lists this ribosomal RNA (433 nucleotides) under Staphylococcus aureus. RNAcentral describes it as "bacterial SSU rRNA". It matches the Rfam family "Bacterial small subunit ribosomal RNA", at positions 1 to 423 of the family's 1533-position model. Lineage: Bacteria; Bacillati; Bacillota; Bacilli; Caryophanales; Staphylococcaceae. The record is from RNAcentral.